UCCCAUCAGUUAUAUAUACUUUUCACUAAAGAGAUAAAAAUGAGAAACCAAACAAAAUUUAGGGCAGAAACUGUACAAAUGAAAUGAAAUUGCAACCAACUGAUAAAGGGGAAAAAAUCGGCGUUAAGAGUGUGAGAACUUACCAUUGAUUCGAGGUUUUGUCAGAACGAGGAUUUACUUCUCCGAAGAAUGAAAAUUUACUUGAAAUGCUUGUUUCAGUUGGCGACCUCGCAGCUCGAUUUGAUUAUUUAGUGCAAUCGGAGAUUCGCUAGACUUCGAUCUAGGCUGUUACACUCCCACUUUUUAAUUCAAAACUGAAAAGUACUCUUUUGGCCCCUACCGGAAUCAACAUAAACCAGGGAGAUUGACGAACCCGUUUGUGAAAAAUGAGUAACGGUAACAUGUGAUGAUUGCCUUUGUUUAAUGUUCUUACGGUCUUAGCCGUCCGUUUCAUAUACCAUUUCUCAUGAUAGUUCGUCGUUAAUUAAUAUAGGAUAUGGUGUUAGAAUGAUAAA
RNAcentral lists this long non-coding RNA (515 nucleotides) under Carica papaya (papaya). RNAcentral's name for it is "long non-coding RNA (CPAP_LNC015444)". Lineage: Eukaryota; Viridiplantae; Streptophyta; Magnoliopsida; Brassicales; Caricaceae. The record is from RNAcentral.